RNAcentral lists this ribosomal RNA (253 nucleotides) under uncultured bacterium. RNAcentral's name for it is "partial 16S ribosomal RNA". It matches the Rfam family "Bacterial small subunit ribosomal RNA", at positions 524 to 776 of the family's 1533-position model. The record is from RNAcentral.
UACGAAGGGGGCUAGCGUUGCUCGGAUUGACUGGGCGUAAAGGGCGCGUAGGCGGAUAGUACAGUCAGGCGUGAAAUUCCUGGGCUCAACCUGGGGGCUGCGUUUGAUACGUAUUGUCUGGAGUUCGGAAGAGGGUCGUGGAAUUCCCAGUGUAGAGGUGAAAUUCGUAGAUAUUGGGAAGAACACCGGUGGCGAAGGCGGCGACCUGGUCAGAUACUGACGCUGAGGCGCGAAAGCGUGGGGAGCAAACAGG